GGGUAGGUAUGCAAAAUGGCUGAAGCAAGCGGUCUGUAAAACCGUCACACUAGAAACAUUGUGAGUUCGAAUCUCACCCUGCCCA
This 85-nucleotide transfer RNA is filed under the name Blautia wexlerae. Its description in RNAcentral is "tRNA-Tyr". It matches the Rfam family "tRNA". From Rfam's summary of the family: Transfer RNA (tRNA) molecules are approximately 80 nucleotides in length. RNAcentral also lists the same sequence under 10 other names. The record is from RNAcentral. Lineage: Bacteria; Bacillati; Bacillota; Clostridia; Lachnospirales; Lachnospiraceae.